Long non-coding RNA from Brassica napus (rape), 3017 nucleotides. RefSeq lists it as uncharacterized. The transcript has 6 exons. The record is from RefSeq and is a predicted model, not a curated record. NCBI's taxonomy places the organism in Eukaryota, Viridiplantae, Streptophyta, Magnoliopsida, Brassicales, Brassicaceae.
UAAAAUAUUUUAGCCGCAUUAAUUUGCUAAGUGUAGAUGCAAUAACAUUGUAGAUCAAAAAUUAAAUGCUAUGGUAAAUGUAAAUAUCUUUAAUUUUAAUUAAAAUAUUUUAAGUUUACACAAAAUAGUUUUGUUUUUAUAUGUUUCUUUUUUUCUUUCUUCUCCAUAGGAAGAAACCAGAGAAGUCUUCAGAUUCAAUCAGCUUGGCUUCCUCAAAUUCUCGGAUUUGAUCUCUUGCCACCGUCGAUUGAAGCUUCAGCACCACACUCCUUUUGACACCGUCGCUCUUUACCACCACUACCACCAGCUCGUCACCACCAUCGCCAUCUCUCUCUGAUUAGGGUUCAGAUUAGGGUUCCCAAGGUCGCUCCUGCUCCUCAUACGGUUUCUGGGUUGGAGAUGGCGGCAUUGAUGAAGCGGCGGAGGAGGCUUCGGCGCAGAAGAAACGUGUUUCUCUUCAGAGACAAGCCGCCGUUACGGUUGAGGCUGCUGAGGAUUACGCUCGGAGGUUUGAAUCUGGUGUCAAUGAGCUUUCCUCUCUAUCUAACGAUCAGGUUGGUGAGGAGUUGGCUCAGUCCGGCGUGAAUGUAAUGUGCAAAAUGUUGUUUUUGGGAGAAAGCCAAGGAAGUGAGAGAGCAAGGAGGAUGCUUUCUUGUAAAAGCUGUGGCAAGAAGUACAAUAAGAAUUGUGUAAAUCUUGGACUCAACAUAUAGGUGCUUUCAUUUGAUUCGUUGCAGAUUUGUUUCAUUGGAGUUCAUGGAGUUGUCCCUCGUGCCGUGUUUGUGAGAUUCCAAAUGGAUUGCUGCAAGAUUGCAAGAGUCUACAAAAUCUUUCUCUGCAUAACAAUCCCAUUUCAAUGGAUGAGUUUCGGCUGAUGGAAGGGCUGGACCUUGAAGACUGUCCUGAAAAAGAGCCUCUUGGUCAUGGGUUCUAUGCAGACUUUACUAUGGCAACAAGGAUAACAAUACCAGAUUUCAUCACCGAGACUAUCUGUUAUAUUUUGCAAUGUGUUCAUGUGUUUCAUGUAUUUGAUUUUGUGUGUGUUUGAAUUAUUUUGGAAUCUAAUUUUUUUUAACCCCUAAUCCCUAAAUAUAUUUUAACCCCUAAACCCUAAAUAUAUUCCUAAAAUCUAAAUUUUAUACUUUUAAACUUUAUAUAAAAAUACAAUUCAAUAUAAAUAUACUAAUUCAAACCGGAUCCAUCUAGUAUCCUAAAUCUAAUACUCUAAAAUUCAAACAUAAAUGAUAUUCUAAAUACUAAAUAAAAUCUCUAAAUAAUUUUUUUCAGAUUUUAAAUCCAAAAUUUAAACUUAAACUCUUAAUCUAAUUUUUUAAAAACUCCAUUCAAAAUCUUAAAUGUAAACCUUAAAUCUCCAUCAAAUUCUAUACCCUAAAUCCUAAACCCUAAAUCCUAACUUCAAACAUAAACAUAUACCACUAAAUAUAAACUUCCAAUAUAAAUUUUAAAAAUUUAACAAACUUCAAAUUUAAAUCUUAAUCACAAACUUUUAUAUACAACUCUAACUCUUACACUUUCAAAACUCUCAAUCCCUAAAUCAUAAUGAAUUGAUCUUUAAUCUACACUUUAUAUCUAAUACCCUAUACCCCAAACUUGAACUCUACAUACAAAAUCAUAAAUCUAAUCUUUACAAACUUAUAAUAGAAAUUUUAAAUUGAACUCUAAAUAUAUUCUAAAAUUCAAAUCAUAUACUUAAUCCUAAAUCUUCACCCUAACUUCUAAACCACAUAUCUCAUUUUAACAUAUAUCAUAAAACAUCAAAUCUUCAUUUUUAAUAAAUUAUAAUUUUGUAAAUAAAUUAAAAUUUAAAAUACAAAAUUUAGACUUCAAGUUUUCAAUUAUGAUAUCAAAGUAUUUAAAGCUUAAAUCAUUUGUAUAAUAGCUAUAAAUAAAUAAGAAGACAAUUUGUAUUGUUUUUUUUUUAACCAUUGAUUGAUUUGAAUCAAAGGCCCAAAAUCACUCUUGUAUUUAUCCCCACACUUUUUUCCUAUUGGUUUACUUGUUUAUGACAUGGAUCACCAUCUGUACCCUUGGAUGAUAUUGAAUCAACGCUUGAGAUUAAUUAUUCUUCUUUUCUUUGUUUUUUAAUUAUCUUUUCUGAUAUACGAGAGGAGAGAGAGAGAGAGAGAGAGAGAGAGAGAGAGAGAGAGAGAGAGAGAGAGAGAGAGAGAGAGAGAGGAGAUGGAGUUCGUAGAUGAUAAAGGAGAAGUCGACACGGCCGGUCGUUACCACCACCACCACCAUCGCUCGUUACCACCACCACCAUCGCCAUCUCUCCCAUCCCCAAUCGCUCGUUACCAUCACCACCAUCAUCAUCUCUCCCAUCCCCAAUCGCUCUUCACCACCACCAUCGCUUCUCAGAUCCGUCUUCACCACCGUCACGCUCGUCAUAACCACCACUGUUCACUUCUCUGUCUCUCACUCUAUGUCUCUGGUGGAGCAUACAGGACCAAGAGCUGCCAAAACUAUGUCCCAGCGUUUGCAAGGUGGUGGUUGUGACUCGUGAGCAAGAGCUGAUGUUGUGCAGAGGAGAUGUCUCGAACUCGUCUCCGUCUAGAUUCACACGAAUGUUGCAGUCUCUCACUGGAAUUGCCAAGUGCAGCCUUUGAAGGAUUAUACAGAUAAAACGUUGCUCUACGGCAGACUUGAAGACAAUCAUGCUUAAGUAUGGGUGUUGAGAUAAGUUAUCUUGUUCGUUGAUCUUGUACUGAUUGGUUCCCGUCUUAAGCAUAGGUGUAUGUCCUCAAAUCAUUGUAUUUAGCAACACUUGUUCUGUGUGCUUUUCAGAUAAUGGGGAAGCUUGAAGAAGGUGGAAGAGACAGAUGAACCUCGAGGAAGGUUGAAGUGAAACAACGAGCUUGAGGAAGGCGGCGGCUUAGGUUUUGUUAUUAGGUUAAUGUGUUUUAAUUAGUUUUUGUUUAAUAUGUACUUGUUUAGUUUUGUAAAAUUGAAUAUUUGUAAACUGAUUUUAAUUAAUAAAUAAAAUUUCAUUUUUAUUA